RNAcentral lists this long non-coding RNA (2261 nucleotides) under Citrus x clementina. RNAcentral's name for it is "Citrus clementina (C. clementina) long non-coding RNA (CCLE_LNC002009)". Lineage: Eukaryota; Viridiplantae; Streptophyta; Magnoliopsida; Sapindales; Rutaceae. The record is from RNAcentral.
GAUAUUUUGUUUAAAAAAAUAAAAAUCUCUAUACAUGAGAUUAGGUUUAAAGUGUUCUAUUAAGAUUAUUUUCUUAUCUGAACACUCCUUAUCUUGUACAGAUUUUGUGUCAUCUAUCUUUUAGUGUUAGUGUAUGAUUAUGAUUUAGGUUUUUUUUUUAAUUUAUUAACCACCAAUCACAUUAAUAGAAUUUACUUAAAAUAAUAUCAGAUCAGGAGAUGAUCAUGAUCCCUUAGCUCUACAGCCAAGGCCGUAGCAAGAUAAGCAAUUAAUUAGUAAUUAAUACGAAUUAAUUAACGGAAUAAAUUUAUAAUUAAGCAUCCACCGGGCUUCAGAUGCGCCUGAAGUAAUGGAAUGCAUUAUCUCUAAAACAGCAGUGAUUUGUUGGCAUGAGAGGGAGGACGGCCCCGGAGCUUGCGUGCGAGUUCUUGAAAGGAAAUAAUGAUAAAUAUCUUUUUCACUCGAUUUUAUACUUAAAAGCGUCCAGAUUCUAUUGGAUAAAAGAGAAUCGAUUAUUGAUCUAAUUCGUAAUGCUGAAAUAAUUUAUAUAAUUAUAGAUAUUUAUAUUCCCUUUCGUAGUUGGCGGGUCUUCAUCGAAUUCUUGAGUGAUUUGAUUCAGCAUUGGCAGACUAAGGGAACUGUCGCGUUCAAACGUAAAUAUGGAAAUUAAACCAAAGUUAAUUAAAUAAGUGUGUUUGAGAAAUAAACGAGUACCUGAGAAGAAACAACACGGCCUUUACGCUUUCCAUUUAGAAUCUUCUUUGAGUGACAAUGCAACAGAGGGCAAGACUGGCAUUCAGUCAAUGAAUGAAAAUAAAAUAAUUUCUCGCAAAAACAGUCACAAAUUUUGAAAAGAGAGGAACCACGCGGUGUACAUUUGUCUAUAAUAAUUUGCAAAUUAUUUAUAUAAAAAAAUAAAAAUCCGCAAAUUUGAAAAGAUAGCAACCACGGAGUUUGAAUGAUAGAAUUAUUAAAGAUAUAAAAGAAUUUAAAAAAAAUUAAUGAAAUCUUAGAAAAUUAUAUAUAGUUGCUCUUUUAACUCAAAAUUAUAAAAGUUAAAAGUUAUUUGCAUAAAAAUUAAGAAAAAAAAUUUAAAUGAGUUGAUAGGAUUUCUUUAUUUUUAUUUUUAACUUUAAAAAUUUUAAAAGAUAAGGAUAGGUAGGUUAAACUCUAACUAAUUUGUUAGCCUUCAUCAUUUUAUGUCCUUCAUGAUUUGAAAACUACUCAGUCAAGUCUUUAUAGACUAUCUAACCAUAAAUAUCUUUUAAUAAAAAUUGUUAUAGAUUAAAUGAAGGAAUGUAAAAUUAUUUUUGAUUUUUGAGUAAUUAUAGAAUCUUAAAAGUUUUAUUCUAAAUAAUGUGGCAUAUGAGGUAUUAUUUAAUGACUCGUCGAGAAUUAUUUAUAAAAUUUAAGUGAAUUAAUUAUAAUUAUCUGAUCAUUCAAAAUAAUAAACGAUGCCUCAUUUAAAAUGAAUUUUUGAGAUAAAUAUUUACUACGCUUAAUUUUAAAAUGAAAAUUUUAAGUUAUAAUAUAUGUGCAUAAACAAACUCAUUUUCCUUUCAUUUAGAGCAGAUUGUUUUGACUUUGUCAAGGACAUUAUUAAGCAUUAAAUGAGAAAUCCAUUCUCACGGAUAUAGAGGGCACAUACAUCCGCCCACGGCCCACCCUCAUUAAAAUUUGGAAAGUCUUUUGGGAAGUCAAAACUCUGUGGGCUUAAAACCCAAACUCUCAACGUAGUUAGGUGACGUGGCAUGUGGGCUACCACUCAAGGCCCGGUGGCCUACACUCAUUUAUACUAAAUUCAGCCCCCCGCUUUAAAGGGGAAAAACAUGAAAAUAAAGAAAUUAUUUUCUUUUGAAAGUUAAAAAAUCAUUAAUUCAUUAUAAUUUAUAAAGGUCAAAGAAUGGUUGCCCUCGCCUGACCUUCUAGAACCCGGGGACCGGGUUUGCCGCCGAGUCUUGGCCCAGCGGGAUAAAUCUUCUGUCUCUUACGUUGUUUUGUUUAAUUGUUUUGUUUUUGUUUUUUCACCAACACACACGUGAUUUUUUGAAAUUUCAUCGCAUCACGCGUCGAAAUUUGAAAGAUGCUGAUGCAGGGCAAGAAAAUGAUGAAAUUCUAUUUAGAUAUUAUAGUUGCAUUUGUUUGCUUAUUUAAAGAUUUAUUAUAAGUUAUAUCUUAUUUGAGUUGUAUUCUUAAUUUAAGUAUGAGUCUUAUUAAAAUUAAGUUUUCUAAUUAAAUUAAGAUAAAUUGUAGUCAAUAUA